CCUACGGGCGGCAGCAGUGGGGAAUAUUGCGCAAUGGGCGAAAGCCUGACGCAGCGACGCCGCGUGAGGGAUGAAGGUCUUCGGAUCGUAAACCUCUGUCAGCAGGGAAGAACGGUCACUGUGCUAAUCAGCAGUGAAUUGACGGUACCUGCAAAGGAAGCACCGGCUAACUCCGUGCCAGCCGCCGCGGUAAUCCGGAGGGUGCGAGCGUUAAUCGGAAUUACUGGGCGUAAAGCGCUCGUAGGCGGUAUGGCAAGUCAAGGGUGAAAUCCCCGCGCUCAACGUGGGAACUGCCUUUGAAACUGGCAAACUGGAGUGUGUGAGAGGAUAGUGGAAUUCCAGGUGUAGGAGUGAAAUCCGUAGAUAUCUGGAGGAACAUCAGUGGCGAAGGCGACUAUCUGGCACAUAACUGACGCUGAGGAGCGAAAGCGUGGGUAGCAAACAGGAUUAGAUACCCCUGUAGUC
Molecule: ribosomal RNA, 465 nt
Filed under: uncultured bacterium
Lineage: Bacteria
Description: partial 16S ribosomal RNA
Rfam family: Bacterial small subunit ribosomal RNA
Source: RNAcentral